UGGGGAAUUUUGGACAAUGGGCGAAAGCCUGAUCCAGCAAUGCCGCGUGUGUGAAGAAGGCCUUCGGGUUGUAAAGCACUUUUGUCCGGAAAGAAAUCCUUGGCUCUAAUACAGUCGGGGGAUGACGGUACCGGAAGAAUAAGCACCGGCUAACUACGUGCCAGCAGCCGCGGUAAUACGUAGGGUGCAAGCGUUAAUCGGAAUUACUGGGCGUAAAGCGUGCGCAGGCGGUUUGCUAAGACCGAUGUGAAAUCCCCGGGCUCAACCUGGGAACUGCAUUGGUGACUGGCAGGCUAGAGUAUGGCAGAGGGGGGUAGAAUUCCACGUGUAGCAGUGAAAUGCGUAGAGAUGUGGAGGAAUACCGAUGGCGAAGGCAGCCCCCUGGGCCAAUACUGACGCUCAUGCACGAAAGCGUGGGGAGCAAACAGGAUUAGAUACCCUGGUAGUCCACGCCCUAAACGAUGUCAACUAGUUGUUGGGGAUUCAUUUCCUUAGUAACGUAGCUAACGCGUGAAGUUGACCGCCUGGGGAGUACGGUCGCAAGAUUAAAACUUAAAGGAAUUGACGGGGUCAUAGCGUUUCCU
Molecule: ribosomal RNA, 584 nt
Filed under: uncultured bacterium
Lineage: Bacteria
Description: partial 16S ribosomal RNA
Rfam family: Bacterial small subunit ribosomal RNA
Source: RNAcentral